This 992-nucleotide long non-coding RNA is filed under the name Fragaria vesca (wild strawberry). RNAcentral describes it as "long non-coding RNA (FVES_LNC001191)". The record is from RNAcentral. Lineage: Eukaryota; Viridiplantae; Streptophyta; Magnoliopsida; Rosales; Rosaceae.
UAAAAAAGUUAGCUGGAGAUUAGAUAUUUACUUUAUUUUACUUUUUAGAUUCAGAAAAAAAAACUAAUAUAUAUUGUAAAGAUAUUAAAAUAAACAAGUUGGAUAGUUAGUAGGGUUGGUUAAACUGUUAUCCUUGUACCAACUCGAGCAAGGGGACAAGCACGGUUCGAAUCCCCUCGGUGCAAAAUUGAACAUUUUGCUGCAAUUUUACUGAUGGAAGGAGGACACGUGGAGAGAAGCAAAUGGAGAGCAGUUGCAGGUGCACGUGCAAAGCACCCAGUGAGGCAGUGACCCGGUCAAACAUUUCGGCAUGGAGCAGUGACCGGACACGUGGAGAGAAGCAAAUGGAGCGCACGUCACUGGCAGUGACCCAGUCAAACAUUUCGGCGGAAGGCGCAGAACAGCACAGUGCAAUUGGUGCAAAAUUUCGGCGGGAAAACGAGAUUUCAAAAGUUUCGGUGGGUUUUCGAAAAUAUCGCCGAAAUAUCGCGAGUUUCGGACGAGAAAUUCUAUCGCUGGGUGAUAAAAACGAAAAUUUCGGCGAAAUAUCGCCGAAAUUUUCGAUUUUUUCUUCUUGCUUUUUUCGUUGUUUAUAAAUAAUUUAAGGCAGGGAUUUAUAAAAUAAGCAUAUAUAGGUAGAGUAGCCCGUAUAAAAAAUUAAAUAUGCAGAGAUAUAGACAGAAAAUAAAACAAAAAAAUCUUCCUAAAUCUACUCCACUCUUACAUGGCACCACAACUCCACAUAUCUUUUAUUAAAAACAUAUAAUCAUUCACCUAAUGACCUUUAUAAUCAUUCACCUAAUUACCUUCAUCACUCCAAGUCUUCUUUAUAAUCAUUCACCUAAUUACCUUCAUCACUCCAAGCUUCAUCACUCCAAGUCUUCUUUAUAAUCAUUCACCUAAUUACUUUCAUCACUCCAAGUCUUCCCUUCCUUGUUCUCCAACCCAAAAAAAGAGACUCUCCCCUGUCGAAAAAAAAACUCCAAGUCUCC